RNAcentral lists this ribosomal RNA (497 nucleotides) under uncultured bacterium. Its description in RNAcentral is "partial 16S ribosomal RNA". It matches the Rfam family "Bacterial small subunit ribosomal RNA", at positions 28 to 507 of the family's 1533-position model. The record is from RNAcentral.
GAUGAACGCUGGCGGCGUGCCUAAUACAUGCAAGUCGAGCGAACAGACGAGAAGCUUGCUCCUCUGACGUUAGCGGCGGACGGGUGAGUAACACGUGGAUAACCUACCUAUAAGACUGGGAUAACUUCGGGAAACCGGAGCUAAUACCGGAUAAUAUAUUGAACCGCAUGGUUCAAUAGUGAAAGACGGUCUUGCUGUCACUUAUAGAUGGAUCCGCGCUGCAUUAGCUAGUUGGUAAGGUAACGGCUUACCAAGGCAACGAUGCAUAGCCGACCUGAGAGGGUGAUCGGCCACACUGGAACUGAGACACGGUCCAGACUCCUACGGGAGGCAGCAGUAGGGAAUCUUCCGCAAUGGGCGAAAGCCUGACGGAGCAACGCCGCGUGAGUGAUGAAGGUCUUCGGAUCGUAAAACUCUGUUAUUAGGGAAGAACAAAUGUGUAAGUAACUAUGCACGUCUUGACGGUACCUAAUCAGAAAGCCACGGCUAACUACGUG